GGAUGUGAGGGCGAUCUGGCUGCGACAUCUGUCACCCCAUUGAUCGCCAGGGUUGAUUCGGCUGAUCUGGCUGGCUAGGCGGGUGUCCCCUUUCUCCCUCACCGCUCCAUGUGCGUCCCUCCCGAAGCUGCGCCCUCGGUCGAAGAGCACGACCUUCCCCGAUAGAGGAGGACCGUUCUUCGGUCAAGGGUAUACGAGUAGCUGCGCUCCCCUGCUAGAACCUCCAAACAAGCUCUCAAGAAGAGGCUUGCUUCUUCUCUCCUGUUCUGAAGAAAUAAAAGAAAAAAAAUAAAAAAUAAAAAAAUCUUCUCUUCUGUUGGUUCUGAAGAAAUAAAAGA
Molecule: small nuclear RNA, 338 nt
Filed under: Prolemur simus (greater bamboo lemur)
Lineage: Eukaryota; Metazoa; Chordata; Mammalia; Primates; Lemuridae
Description: 7SK RNA (ENSPSMG00000012338.1)
Rfam family: 7SK RNA
About the family: 7SK was discovered as an abundant small nuclear RNA in the mid-70s but a possible function has only recently been suggested. Two independent studies have found that 7SK RNA binds the CDK9/cyclin T complex (known as elongation factor P-TEFb).
Source: RNAcentral